CUUCUAAGUCCAACAUG
Molecule: small RNA, 17 nt
Filed under: Arabidopsis thaliana (thale cress)
Lineage: Eukaryota; Viridiplantae; Streptophyta; Magnoliopsida; Brassicales; Brassicaceae
Description: ATSL304540
Source: RNAcentral